AAUGUAGCGUAAAGGGUAGCGCGUUGGACUUCUAAUCCAUAGGUCGUGGGUUCGAACUCCACCUGGGUUG
Molecule: transfer RNA, 70 nt
Filed under: Trichonephila inaurata madagascariensis
Lineage: Eukaryota; Metazoa; Arthropoda; Arachnida; Araneae; Nephilidae
Description: tRNA-Arg
Rfam family: tRNA (bases 4-63)
About the family: Transfer RNA (tRNA) molecules are approximately 80 nucleotides in length. Their secondary structure includes four short double-helical elements and three loops (D, anti-codon, and T loops).
Source: RNAcentral